Oncorhynchus nerka (sockeye salmon) is the source of this 3188-nucleotide long non-coding RNA. RefSeq lists it as uncharacterized. The transcript is spliced from 2 exons. NCBI's taxonomy places the organism in Eukaryota, Metazoa, Chordata, Actinopteri, Salmoniformes, Salmonidae. The record is from RefSeq and is a predicted model, not a curated record.
UCAGCAGGAGAAAUAAAUAGUGUUGUCAUUCUGAUCCACAUAGAGGUGCAGGAGGAAGAUGAGGUGAUCGUGUUUUCCUCUGCGAGAGACACAAAUGAGAUUUACAACUGUUCUGAACCUGAGCAUUGGAAGAUGCAAUAGCAUAACAAUGUAAGCUGUCCAUUUUCAUUAUAAAAAAACACUCAACAUAUACCCCUUUCUGUUAACAGUGGUGAAAAGUUAAUAUUAUGGGCCUGUUUUGAAUGUAAAGAUAAUCACUUCCCUUGACUGUAGGCUUGUGUAAUUUCUGAGUUUGGCUAGUUAAUGUGGCAAUGAUAACAUGAAGGCCUGAGUGUAAAAAGUAUUCCACUGCGACCUAAUUAAAGCAUAACAUCCAACACUAACUACAUUCAUACAGCACAUCCAGCCAUUUUUAAUCAGGAAGCUCUAUGCAUCAAGAUAUACGAUGUUGACGCGCGCCUUAGGUCCAGCUGUUUGCACAACGAAUGCUCCUUUGAGACACUACAGACAGCUGACGAGCAUUUAUUUGUGAGACGGAAGGUUUUCAAUCGAUCUGUCCGGUUUUCAAGCAUUCUUCUUCCAACCGGUGUUCGACUCCAAAACCCCGCUCCACCAGAGAUGUUGCACGCCAACUCCUGGAUUUGCUUUUCUCCCACUCCAGCUAUGACGACACAUUAAAUUAGCUUAAAGUAUGCCAAGCCAAUCGACCAACGGGAGAGGAGGCAAGUUAUGUUUAAAAAAAAUGUCAUGGCAAACGAAUCUUCCAAUCAGUUCGCAGUACUUGUCUCUUCGUCUCCGCCCAUUGCUUUUUAUUGGACACAAAACCCGCGUCAUUGUGCUAUCAAAACGAGAAAGUGUGGUGAAGAUAUUGUAUCAACAAUUUGAAAGCGUUUGGAUCUUUCUUUCUUUAGGCCUAGUAGGCCAGUCUACUUCAAUGAUCUAUUCUAUGGUCAUUUCAGUGAGUUCAUAUUUUAAAUGUAUAAUCUCUAGCGAAGAGAAGAAGUGUGUUACAGGUAUUAAUUAGCCUGUUGUAUGACGAAUAUUAUAUGCAGUUAUGAACCUGGUUCAAUCACCACCGCAGCAGGUAGUUUUUAUCUGGAAAUUCCUUAAACAUUCAAGGACAUGCCUGCCCUAUGGUAUAUUAUGCACAUCCUAUGUAGAGUGGCUUGUGUUUGUACAUUGGUGGACGUUUUUAUUAUUUGAUUUAUUUAACUAGUGGAUGUUGGUGGAAGUUUAAUUCUAGCUUUUUAAAAGCAUCUACUUAUAGUAGUGUUGUGUUUCAACAUGACAUCCUCUUAAAUGACAGGGUAGCCUAGUGGUUAGAGCGUUGGACUAGUAACCAGAAGGUUGUGAGUUCAAACCCCCGAGCUGACAAGGUACAACUCUGUCGUUCUGCCCCUGAACAGGCAGUUAACCCACUGUUCCUAGGCCGUCAUUGAAAAUAAGAAUGUGUUCUUAACUGACUUGCCUAGUUAAAUAAAGGUAAAAUAAAAUAAACAGUGGCUCCAAAAGGAAUUACGUUAUGCCCCAAAAAAGAGGUUGGCUAAAAGCAGUCAGCUGCAUCAAGUCUGAAUAGCGAAUGCAUUUAAAUCAACAAAAAUGUGUUACAAAUGAACAAAAGAUGAGUGUUUCACAAGACUGCAGUGGCAUUCAAGAAGUAUGUUGGUGCCUUUUGUUUUACACCACAGGACUGUGGCCAGUGACCUCUGUCUGUCGCCCUUCCCCCUCAUUUCCUGUGAGACAGAAACUGCAGCACCAAAUGGUCAUGAUAACACCGCUUUUUCUUAUCCAUGGCAUUUGGUUAUAGUGGUCCCUGAAAAUGCACAUUUACUUGCCAUUUCACCCUAAUUUUGAAAGAAUGUUGAGUCAUUAAUAUGUUGGAAAUCCUCAAGACGUUUCACCAAAAAAGAAAAUAUGACUCUUCGGCAGUGUUAGUUUUUAGGGGAAGUUUUUAAAGGCUCAUGACAGACCAGCUCAUAUGACUACAGUAUAUGUUGGAACCGCCUCUUCAGAUAAGGAAACCGAGGAGGCACUGUAAUGCCACAGCAAACACAAAGCCCUUUUUUUGUGCAGUAUAUCAGUAUACAGCAAAUACUGCGUCCAAACUAAUACUUUUUUAAAUUUAUUGCAGAAAUGUUGCAGUGUAACUGCAGUUAUCCUGCAUUUACUGCAUCCAAAAUACUGCUGUUUCAAAACUGAAAUCUGUUUUUAUAAGAGAUACAUCCCAAAAUCCGCCUGACCAGGAAGAUAAAGAGGGUGCUUAAAGUAGAGGCUUAGGAAACAAGGUUUAUUAAAGAGCGGCAGGUAGCCUAGUGGUUAGAGCGUAGAGGCGGCAGGGUAGCCUAGUGGUUAGAGUGUAGGGGCGGCAGCGUAGCCUAGUGGUUAGAGCGUUGGGCCAGCAAAGGUUGCUGGAUUGAAUCCCGAGCUGACAAGGUACAAAUCUGUUGUUCUGCCCCGGAACAUGGCACUGUUCCCCAGUAGGCCAUCAUUGUAAAUAAUAAUUUGUCUUUAACUGACUAGCCUAGUUAAAUUUAAAAAAGAGCUGAGAGAGGUUGAUGGUUUAGAAUUUCUGCUUACUUCUAGAAAAAAUGUUGUGUGUUCGAACAGCCGGAAAAAAACAAACCGAAGUCCAAAACGUCACAAAAAUCGUCAGAAUAUAUGCACGAACUCCUCCAAACUGUAUCAACUGAAACCUUUAUAGAGCUGGGAGAGGUUGAUGGCGAUACAUUGAUGAUAUUUUGAAAAGGAAAUGCAGAUCAGCUUUCAUAAUAAUAUGGGUCUGGUGGUCAUUUUUUCUAAUUGCUCAGUGGAGUCGGUUUUAAUGAAGCAUGAGGAUGGAUUGUACUUUUGAAAAUUAGAUGUAUAUUCUUGUUCAGUGUUUUGUGGCUUACACUGAAAGAGCAUUUGAUAUUUAUUAAUUUAUUUAUUAAUGUAAAUAUCCUUCCCUACAGCACCAGUCAUAUUCUAGUAAUAGUCGACAGACCAUCGUUCAUCCCAUGCAUUGGAUUGUCCACACAGGAACACAGGUGAACUGAAGUUCACAACCAGAUAGAAUUAAAAUAGAUUAAUAGCUUGACUAAAAUAUUUCCAUUUAUUGUAAACAUUUAAAGGCACUAAACAUUGGGAACUAUCUACAAAAAAUGUCAGUGCCUAUAAAUGAUUGAUAUCAAUAAAUCCUUUCAACCCUG